Cricetulus griseus (Chinese hamster) is the source of this 109-nucleotide ribosomal RNA. The record is from Ensembl. NCBI's taxonomy places the organism in Eukaryota, Metazoa, Chordata, Mammalia, Rodentia, Cricetidae.
GUCUACGGCCAUACCACCCUGAACUCGCCCGAUCUCGGAAGCUAAGCAAGGUCAGGCCUGGUUAGUACUUGGGUGGGAGACCGCCUGGGAAUACGGGGUGCUGUAGGCU